CGUUUGUCCCAUCAUUCUUAACACUUUUUGAAACAGUUUUGGAGGCUCCCUUUUGUGAGUGUCUUUACAUGGCGUUACAAGAAAUCCAGUGAAUGUUGCUACCAAGUGACUUGGAUUAGAAAGGCAGUCCUGUAAAAAAUACUAGUGUGUCUUCAUUCACCUUAUUCACCAGAUCUGGCAUGGUAUAAUCCUGGUUCAUCCCCGAGGCAAGAUCAUCAUGAAAACUAAAUGUUUAGAAUCAAUUUAGGACACUGAGGCAGCAGUGAUAUCACCACUGAAGACACUCAUGAAAGAAGACUUCAAAAAGUGUCAGGAGUGAUGGGAAACAGCAAAGCUAGUGAUGCACAAAUUUCAGUGAUUGCUGCCACACAGACACAAUUAAAAGAUGAUCUUUGUUCUCAAGCUGUACUAGCAAAAGGAUUUUUCAGGAAAAUUUAAUCUCAUACUCAUCUUCCUG
This 457-nucleotide long non-coding RNA is filed under the name Fukomys damarensis (Damara mole-rat). RNAcentral's name for it is "lncRNA (ENSFDAG00000028932.1)". Lineage: Eukaryota; Metazoa; Chordata; Mammalia; Rodentia; Bathyergidae. The record is from RNAcentral.